Molecule: ribosomal RNA, 373 nt
Filed under: uncultured bacterium
Lineage: Bacteria
Description: bacterial SSU rRNA
Rfam family: Bacterial small subunit ribosomal RNA
Source: RNAcentral
GUAGGGAGCAAGCGUUGUCCGGAAUCAUUGGGCGUAAAGCGCGCGUAGGUGGCCUCAUAAGUCCGCUGUGAAAGUCAAAGGCUCAACCUUUGAAAGCCGGUGGAUACUGUGAGGCUAGAGUACGGAAGAGGCGAGUGGAAUUCCUGGUGUAGCGGUGGAAUGCGCAGAUAUCAGGAGGAACACCAAUAGCGAAGGCAGCUCGCUGGGACGUUACUGACACUGAGGCGCGAAAGCGUGGGGAGCGAACAGGAUUAGAUACCCUGGUAGUCCACGCCGUAAACGAUGGGUACUAGGUGUGGGAGGUGUCGACUCCUCCCGUGCCGUCGCUAACGCACUAAGUACCCCGCCUGGGGAGUACGGCCGCAAGGCUAAA